CUUCCGUCUGAGUGUUCCAUCACGCAACAGGGAGGAAACAAGGAGUCACCCGACCUGGGUGUUCUUUUAGAAAUAUCUGUCCUUCAACUACCAAAGGAAAUGAAAACACCAGGUCCAAAGUCUAAGAAACCACAGAACGUAGGAGCCUCCUGGACCUCACAGACAGUGAAGGACAUUCACUGAGCUCCUCACAGGACAGUGAGGGCUCCCUGCUGCCGCCGCCGCCCCACACAGGGAAUAGCAGUGAUAAAGGCAGUGAGGGCAGAGACUUCUGGGCAUCACAGCUGAUGGAGGCAGGAAGUGUGAAGACCAGAGCUCCGUCCAGGAGCCCCUGUGAAGAAGCCAGGAGUGGUGGCCCUUGCUUCUAACCCCAACGCUGAGGAGGCAGAGACAGGUCCCAUGAAGUCUCAAGGGAGCCGCAUGACCUAUCUCCAUAAUGAAGAGGCUCCUGUAAAGAGGUAA
Non-coding RNA from Peromyscus maniculatus bairdii (prairie deer mouse), 462 nucleotides. NCBI's taxonomy places the organism in Eukaryota, Metazoa, Chordata, Mammalia, Rodentia, Cricetidae. The record is from RefSeq and is a predicted model, not a curated record.